ACUUAAAUAGCUUAAUGUUUAGAGCGCGACAUUGAAGAUGUUGAUGAGACAUAAAUUGUCUUUGAGUG
RNAcentral lists this transfer RNA (68 nucleotides) under Pericapritermes nigerianus. RNAcentral describes it as "tRNA-Phe". The record is from RNAcentral. Lineage: Eukaryota; Metazoa; Arthropoda; Insecta; Blattodea; Termitidae.